Long non-coding RNA from Mus musculus (house mouse), 688 nucleotides. RefSeq annotates it as predicted gene, 32273. The transcript is spliced from 5 exons. The record is from RefSeq and is marked validated. NCBI's taxonomy places the organism in Eukaryota, Metazoa, Chordata, Mammalia, Rodentia, Muridae.
GUGAGGAAUCCGGCAUCCAAGAUGUUGGAGGUUAGAGAAGACUGGCACGCAGCAAAUCUUUCCCCUGUCCCUUCGGAGCACCAAAUGCCGCCCAAACUCUCCAGAUAACUGUUCCUGCGUCUCUGAGGCGGGAACUGAAGGCCCAGAUUUCCAUCUCCGCAGAGGAAGCCAGUGCCUUGGCCCCACCCAGCCAUUGUUUCCUCGGGAGGCCCCAGCUCUCAGUGUUGCACUGGGAAGCUCCCACAGCGAAUGUCCUGGAAGUCAAUGCUGGGGGAGAAAGGAGGGAGGGAGACUGGUGGGGGUUGCAGGGGCAAGUUCCUGUCAGAUGUUACUCCGUGGGCACACAUCAAGACACUGGGAAGAAAAAUCAGACUGGCUUUCAGUGUGCAGCCCUGACUGUCCUGGAACUUAUGCUGUUUGACAAACUGGCCUUAAACUCAGUCAUGCCACUGCCUCUGCCUCCUGAGUCUUGGGAUUAAAGCCUUAAUGGUUCCACUGUUUACACCUGGAUGGAGCUUGCCGCUCAAUCGUUCUGCCACGCCCACUGCUGGAGCCUGCCGCUUUCCUGUUCCGAAGCCAUCACGUGGUCACCCUGCUACUGGAUUCCAAGAUUAUUUGGCGUGAAUCGGGCCCCCUUCCCCUGCUUCAUAACUGCAUGCAGAAUAGUAAAAUUGAGCUUUGAUCAGAA